CCUACGGGAGGCAGCAGUGGGGAAUAUUGCACAAUGGGGGAAACCCUGAUGCAGCGACGCAGCGUGAGUGAAGAAGGAUCUCGGUGCGUAAAGCUCUAUCAGCAGGGAAGUAAAUGACGGUACCUGACUAAGAAUCCCUGGCUAACUAGGUGCCAGCAGGCGCGGUAAUACGCAGGGGGCAAGCGUUAUACGGAUUUACUGGGUGUAAAGGGAGCGUAGACGGCAGCACAAGUCUGGAGUGAAAUACCGGGGCUUAACCUCGGAACUGCAUUGGAAACUGUGCGGCUGGAGUGCAGUAGGGGUAAGCGGAAUUCCUAGUGUAGCGGUGAAAUGCGUAGAUAUCACGAAGAACUCCAGUGGCGAAGGCGGCCUGCUGGACAGAAACUGACGUUGAGGCUCGAAAGCGUGGGGAGCAAACAGGAUUAGAUACCCUGGUAGUC
RNAcentral lists this ribosomal RNA (440 nucleotides) under uncultured bacterium. RNAcentral describes it as "partial 16S ribosomal RNA". It matches the Rfam family "Bacterial small subunit ribosomal RNA", at positions 338 to 795 of the family's 1533-position model. The record is from RNAcentral.